AGGAGAAGAGCUCUUUCCUGGGGAGUUAAAGGGAAAGUCCAGCACCCCUUAGGCUCUGUCCUCUGGAAGAAGCUUUCUGCAGAAAUAAUCCAGCAGACACAAGACAACGGAGAUGGGUAUUGCUCUGUUGCUCUGGCUGGUCUCAAACUCCUGGCCUCAAGCAAUCCUCCCACCUCACCUUCCCAAAGCACUGGGGUUACAGCAGGGGUCCCCAACCCCUGGGCUAAGGACUGGUACCAGUCUGUGGCCUGUUAAGAACCAGGUCGCACAGCAGCAGGACCACACUGGCCCGCCACUCCCCCAUCCUGUGCCUUUAAAAACCCGAGGCCCUAGCGGGCAGACACACAAGCUGCUGGACGUCUUGACGUACACAUCCGUGGAAGAAGAUAACAAGUGGCUGGACAGCGAGAGGACGUCGAGGGAGCACGCUCGCGGAAGAGCACACUGGCAUGCGGGCGGGUCGUUGACCAGUGAAACUAGGCAGAGUUUGGCCUGGGCAGUCAGAGGAGAGCUGGGGCCGCCUAGCGACCCAACUCCAGAGAAAGACCAUCUCCCUUCUGGCUCCCCCAUCUACUGAGGGAUACUUCCACUCAAUAAAACUUCAUACUCAUUCUCCAA
Molecule: long non-coding RNA, 618 nt
Organism: Pongo pygmaeus (Bornean orangutan)
Lineage: Eukaryota; Metazoa; Chordata; Mammalia; Primates; Hominidae
Exons: 3
Source: RefSeq, a predicted model, not a curated record